UUCCUACGGGACGCAGCAGUGAGGAAUAUUGGUCAAUGGGCGGGAGCCUGAACCAGCCAUGCCGCGUGACGGCGCGUGCCCUCCGGGCGUUCCCCUUCUUUUGUGCGGGCGCACUAAGGGCCACGUGUGGCCCGAUGAGAGUACCGCACGAAUAAGCAUCGGCUAACUCCGUGCCAGCAGCCGCGGUAAUACGGGGGAUGCGAGCGUUAUCCGGAUCUAUUGGGUUUAAAGGGUGCGUAGGCGGCGCUUCAGGUCAGCGGUG
RNAcentral lists this ribosomal RNA (262 nucleotides) under uncultured bacterium. Its description in RNAcentral is "partial 16S ribosomal RNA". It matches the Rfam family "Bacterial small subunit ribosomal RNA", at positions 336 to 596 of the family's 1533-position model. The record is from RNAcentral.